RNAcentral lists this ribosomal RNA (389 nucleotides) under uncultured bacterium. RNAcentral's name for it is "bacterial SSU rRNA". It matches the Rfam family "Bacterial small subunit ribosomal RNA", at positions 28 to 419 of the family's 1533-position model. The record is from RNAcentral.
GAUGAACGCUGGCGGCGUGCUUAACACAUGCAAGUCGAACGAUGAAGGAAGCUUGCUUCUGGAUUAGUGGCGAACGGGUGAGUAACACGUGAGUAACCUGCCCUUGACUCUGGGAUAAGCACUGGAAACGGUGUCUAAUACCGGAUACGAACCUCAGCCGCAUGGCUAGGGGUUGGAAAGAAUUUUGGUCAAGGAUGGACUCGCGGCCCAUCAGCUAGUUGGUGAGGUAACGGCCCACCAAGGCGACGACGGGUAGCCGGCCUGAGAGGGUGACCGGCCACACUGGGACUGAGACACGGCCCAGACUCCUACGGGAGGCAGCAGUGGGGAAUUUUGGACAAUGGGCGCAAGCCUGAUCCAGCAAUGCCGCGUGAGUGAAGAAGGCCUGG